Molecule: ribosomal RNA, 439 nt
Filed under: uncultured bacterium
Lineage: Bacteria
Description: partial 16S ribosomal RNA
Rfam family: Bacterial small subunit ribosomal RNA
Source: RNAcentral
CUACGGGCCGCAGCAGUAGGGAAUCUUAGACAAUGGGGGAAACCCUGAUCUAGCCAUGCCGCGUGAGUGAUGAAGGCCUUAGGGUUGUAAAGCUCUUUCGCUGGGGAAGAUAAUGACGGUACCCAGUAAAGAAACCCCGGCUAACUCCGUGCCAGCAGCCGCGGUAAUACGGAGGGGGUUAGCGUUGUUCGGAAUUACUGGGCGUAAAGCGCGCGUAGGCGGGCUAUUAAGUCAGGGGUGAAAUCCCGGGGCUCAACCCCGGAACUGCCUUUGAUACUGGUAGUCUUGAGUUCGAGAGAGGUGAGUGGAAUUCCGAGUGUAGAGGUGAAAUUCGUAGAUAUUCGGAGGAACAUCAGUGGCGAAGGCGACUCACUGGCUCGAUACUGACGCUGAGGUGCGAAAGUGUGGGGAGCAAACAGGAUUAGAUACCCCCGUAGUC